RNAcentral lists this ribosomal RNA (462 nucleotides) under uncultured bacterium. RNAcentral describes it as "partial 16S ribosomal RNA". It matches the Rfam family "Bacterial small subunit ribosomal RNA", at positions 29 to 507 of the family's 1533-position model. The record is from RNAcentral.
AUGCACGCUGACAGAAUGCUUCACACAUGCAAGUCGCUGGGGAAGUGGUGCUUGCACCAUGGCAACCAUGGCGGACGGGUGAGUAACGCGUAAGGGACUUACCUGCAGGACUGGGAUAACAGGGGGAAACUCCUGACAAGACCGGAUAAUGUCAUGGAGCUGCAUGGCUUUAUGAUGAAAGGAGACGCCUGCGGAGAGCCUUGCGUCCUAUUAGCUAGUUGGUGAGGUAAUGGCUCACCAAGGCGAAGAUAGGUAGCCGGCCUGAGAGGGUGGACGGCCACAAGGGGACUGAGAUACGGCCCUUACUCCUACGGGAGGCAGCAGUGGGGAAUAUUGGACAAUGGGGGCAACCCUGAUCCAGCAAUUCUGUGUGCACGAAGAAGGUUUUCGGAUUGUAAAGUGCUUUCAGCAGGGAAGAAGUAAGUGACGGUACCUGCAGAAGAAGCGACGGCUAAAUACGUG